GACGAACGCUGGCGGCGUGCCUAAUACAUGCAAGUAGAACGCUGAAGGAGGAGCUUGCUCUUCUGGAUGAGUUGCGAACGGGUGAGUAACGCGUAGGUAACCUGCCUGGUAGCGGGGGAUAACUAUUGGAAACGAUAGCUAAUACCGCAUAACAGUAGAUGUCGCAUGACAUUUGCUUAAAAGGUGCAAUUGCAUCACUACCAGAUGGACCUGCGUUGUAUUAGCUAGUUGGUGAGGUAACGGCUCACCAAGGCAACGAUACAUAGCCGACCUGAGAGGGUGAUCGGCCACACUGGGACUGAGACACGGCCCAGACUCCUACGGGAGGCAGCAGUAGGGAAUCUUCGGCAAUGGGCGGAAGUCUGACCGAGCAACGCCGCGUGAGUGAAGAAGGUUUUCGGAUCGUAAAGCUCUGUUGUAAGAGAAGAACGAGUGUGAGAGU
Molecule: ribosomal RNA, 442 nt
Filed under: Streptococcus sp. oral taxon 064
Lineage: Bacteria; Bacillati; Bacillota; Bacilli; Lactobacillales; Streptococcaceae
Description: bacterial SSU rRNA
Rfam family: Bacterial small subunit ribosomal RNA
Source: RNAcentral